GACGAACGCUGGCGGCGUGCUUAACACAUGCAAGUCGAACGGAAAGGCCCUGCUUUUGUGGGGUGCUCGAGUGGCGAACGGGUGAGUAACACGUGAGUAACCUGCCCUUGACUUUGGGAUAACUUCAGGAAACUGGGGCUAAUACCGGAUAGGAGCUCCUGCUGCAUGGUGGGGGUUGGAAAGUUUCGGCGGUUGGGGAUGGACUCGCGGCUUAUCAGCUUGUUGGUGGGGUAGUGGCUUACCAAGGCUUUGACGGGUAGCCGGCCUGAGAGGGUGACCGGCCACAUUGGGACUGAGAUACGGCCCAGACUCCUACGGGAGGCAGCAGUGGGGAAUAUUGCACAAUGGGCGGAAGCCUGAUACAGCAACGCCGCGUGCGGGAUGACGGCCUUCGGGUUGCAAACCGCUUUCGCCUGUGACGAAGCGUGAGUGACGGUAAUGGGUAAAGAAGCACCGGCUAACUACGUG
RNAcentral lists this ribosomal RNA (468 nucleotides) under uncultured bacterium. RNAcentral's name for it is "partial 16S ribosomal RNA". It matches the Rfam family "Bacterial small subunit ribosomal RNA", at positions 28 to 507 of the family's 1533-position model. The record is from RNAcentral.